UCGAUUCCCCAAAACAUGGGCUGCGCCGUCGCAAUCACUCUUGUAAUCGCCGCCGCAACGCUGAUCGUCACUCGGUUCCUCUACGUCCUGCACCGAACUGGCAAACCCCACAAACCCCGCAAACCCAGCAGUUCGAAAGGCUCAGCUCCCCAACCCCUCAGCACCCUAAUCGUAUUGGGCUCCGGAGGCCACACCGCCGAGAUGAUCAACCUGUUGUCCGUCCUUCAAAGAGACAGAUUUGCCCCCAGGUUCUACAUCGCCGCGGCCACUGACAACAUGAGUCUCCAGAAAGCUCGACUGCUCGAAGAGAACGCCGAUGAGAGUUCGAGCUCGCAGUUCAUGCAGAUCUACCGGAGCAGGGAAGUGGGUCAGUCUUAUUUCACCUCUGUUUUGACUACUUUGAUUGCUUUGGCUCAUGGGCUCUGGCUAAUGAUCAGAAUCCGACCCCAAGUGAUUCUGUGCAAUGGGCCUGGGACUUGUGUUCCACUUUGUGUAAUUGCAUUCUUAUUCAAGGUUGUGGGGAUUAGAUGGUCGUCUGUGUUUUAUGUUGAGAGUAUAGCAAGAGUGCAGAGGCUCUCCCUGAGCGGCUUGCUUCUUUACAAGUUACGGAUAGCCGACCAGUUCUUUGUCCAAUGGCCCCAGUUACAGAAGAAGUAUCCCAGAGCUCACUAUGUCGGUUGUCUCAUGUAGUUGAUCCGAUUCUGCUGCUGCUAUACGUGCUCUAACUUCCAGGUUUUCUCAAUCAAAAAGACUCCGGUAACUACUGCAGACAACAAAGAAACUGAUGAUAGCGUAUAGAUGGUGAUACGCACCCAUCGUGUAAAAUCUCCGGGCUGAGAAGUUGUUGCUUGGUGGGGGUUUUUCUUAAACUCAUGUGCAUUGUCUUCUUCAGCUUCUUCAACUGGUAUGAAACACAUAUUUGGAUUACCAUGGAGGUGGCUUCAUCUAUGAUUUAGUUCAUCAAUAAACUCUCAAUUUUUUCUCUA
Pyrus x bretschneideri (Chinese white pear) is the source of this 986-nucleotide RNA transcript. It is a transcript of the gene named UDP-N-acetylglucosamine transferase subunit ALG14, with no coding region annotated. Lineage: Eukaryota; Viridiplantae; Streptophyta; Magnoliopsida; Rosales; Rosaceae. The record is from RefSeq and is a predicted model, not a curated record. The transcript is spliced from 4 exons.